Molecule: long non-coding RNA, 275 nt
Filed under: Amborella trichopoda
Lineage: Eukaryota; Viridiplantae; Streptophyta; Magnoliopsida; Amborellales; Amborellaceae
Description: long non-coding RNA (ATRI_LNC005436)
Source: RNAcentral
CUAAUGUUAUUUAACUGCUAAUGAAAUUUGUUAUGCAGGAGCAGGAAGAGUUUUAACGGCCAAUGAAGUAGAGAUAGAAGCGAUAGAAAGAGGGCUGGAGCUUAUUAUCAAAAAAGGUGUGAAAUGAUCCUUGUGUUAUUGAAGGGGACUUUUUGUAAUUGGUUGAGAAAAAAAUUGAUAAAAAUUAUGGAAAAAAUGGAUAAAAAUUAUGGAAAUGUGCUGUAGCUUGUAAGUUUCUUUUCAACAUGUUUAUAGAGAGACAAAUUCAAUUGCUG